GAUGAACGCUGGCGGCGUGCCUAAUACAUGCAAGUCGAGCGAACAGACGAGGAGCUUGCUCCUCUGACGUUAGCGGCGGACGGGUGAGUAACACGUGGAUAACCUACCUAUAAGACUGGGAUAACUUCGGGAAACCGGAGCUAAUACCGGAUAAUAUAUUGAACCGCAUGGUUCAAUAGUGAAAGACGGUUUUGCUGUCACUUAUAGAUGGAUCCGCGCCGCAUUAGCUAGUUGGUAAGGUAACGGCUUACCAAGGCAACGAUGCGUAGCCGACCUGAGAGGGUGAUCUGCCACACUGGAACUGAGACACGGUCCAGACUCCUACGGGAGGCAGCAGUAGGGAAUCUUCCGCAAUGGGCGAAAGCCCGACGGAGCAACGCCGCGUGAGUGAUGAAGGUCUUCGGAUCGUAAAACUCUGUUAUUAGGGAAGAACAAAUGUGUAAGUAACUAUGCACGUCUUGACGGUACCUAAUCAGAAAGCCACGGCUAACUACGUG
This 497-nucleotide ribosomal RNA is filed under the name uncultured bacterium. Its description in RNAcentral is "partial 16S ribosomal RNA". It matches the Rfam family "Bacterial small subunit ribosomal RNA", at positions 28 to 507 of the family's 1533-position model. The record is from RNAcentral.